This 440-nucleotide ribosomal RNA is filed under the name uncultured bacterium. RNAcentral describes it as "partial 16S ribosomal RNA". It matches the Rfam family "Bacterial small subunit ribosomal RNA", at positions 338 to 795 of the family's 1533-position model. The record is from RNAcentral.
CCUACGGGAGGCAGCAGUGGGGAAUAUUGGUCAAUGGGGGCGACCCUGAAGCAGCAAAGCCGCGUGGGGGAUGAAGGUUUUCGGGAUGGAAACUCCUUUUGUUAGAGGAGAGAAUGACGGUAUGUAACGAAUAAGCAGCGGAUAACUCCGUUCCAGCAGCCGCGGUAAUGCGGAGGGAGCAAGCGUUAAUCGGAAUCACUGGGCGUAAAGGGGGCGUAGGGGGGAUAGCAAGUCAGAUGUGAAAUCCUAUGGCUUAACCCUAGAACUGCAUUUGAAACUGGUAUUCUAGAGUAUGGGAGAGGUAGGUGGAAUGCUUGGUGUAGGGGUAAAAUCCGUAGAGAUCACGAGGAAUACUCAUUGCGAAGGCGACCUGCUAGAACAUAACUGACGCUGAUGCGCGAAAGCGUGGGGAGCAAACAGGAUUAGAUACCCGUGUAGUC